AGGACGAACGCUGGCGGCGUGCCUAACACAUGCAAGUCGAACGGGGGUAGCAAUACCCCAGUGGCGAACGGGUGCGUAACACGUGAAGAACUUGUCCAUCGGCGGGGGAUAGCCGGCCCAACGGCCGGGUAAUACCGCGUACGCCGUCUGAAGCGCAUGCUUCGGCCGGGAAAGCAGCAAUGCACCGAUGGAGAGCUUCGCGGCCUAUCAGCUAGUUGGCGGGGUAAUGGUCCACCAAGGCGACGACGGGUAGCUGGUCUGAGAGGAUGACCAGCCACAUUGGGACUGAGACACGGCCCAGACUCCUACGGGAGGCAGCAGUGGGGAAUAUUGCGCAAUGGGGGAAACCCUGACGCAGCGACGCCGCGUGUGGGAUGACGGCCUUCGGUUGUAACCACUGUCGCGAGGGACGAAAAAGUGACGGUACCUCGAAGGAAGCACCGGCUAACUCUGUGCCAGCAGCCGC
RNAcentral lists this ribosomal RNA (466 nucleotides) under uncultured bacterium. Its description in RNAcentral is "SSU rRNA". It matches the Rfam family "Bacterial small subunit ribosomal RNA", at positions 26 to 518 of the family's 1533-position model. The record is from RNAcentral.